RNAcentral lists this ribosomal RNA (465 nucleotides) under uncultured bacterium. RNAcentral describes it as "partial 16S ribosomal RNA". It matches the Rfam family "Bacterial small subunit ribosomal RNA", at positions 28 to 507 of the family's 1533-position model. The record is from RNAcentral.
GACGAACGCUGGCGGCGUGCUUAACACAUGCAAGUCGAACGGAAAGGCCCCUUUGGGGGUACUCGAGUGGCGAACGGGUGAGUAACACGUGAGUAACCUGCCCUUGCCUUCGGGAUAACUUCAGGAAACUGGGGCUAAUACCGGAUAGGAAUCCUUGCUGCAUGGUGGGGGUUCGAAAGCUUCGGCGGUUUUGGAUGGACUCGCGGGUUAUCAGCUUGUUGGUGGGGUAGUGGCUUACCAAGGCUUUGACGGGUAGCCGGCCUGAGGGAGCGACCGGCCACAUUGGGACUGAGAUACGGCCCAGAGUCCGACGGGAUGCAGCAGGGGGGAAUAUUGCACAAUGGGCGGAAGCCUGAUGCAGCAACGCCGCGGGCGGGAUGACGGCCUUCGGGUUGUAAGCCGAGUUCAGCAGGGGCGAAGCUUGUGGUGACGGUACCUGCAGAAGAAGCACCGGCUAACUACGUG